Molecule: long non-coding RNA, 488 nt
Organism: Ictalurus punctatus (channel catfish)
Lineage: Eukaryota; Metazoa; Chordata; Actinopteri; Siluriformes; Ictaluridae
Exons: 3
Source: RefSeq, a predicted model, not a curated record
UAUGGCCUCGUCCAUGACAGGCCUGCGUUUCUCUAGGAGUGCUUAAUUUAUGGCUCUUUGUUUCUUCCUGACCAAAGAGUUUUUUUAUGACUAGAGGGGUCGUGGUGUGAUCCUACAGAUUGUUUAUGAUAAUGAGUGUCUGCGGGGGUGUUAAUUGCUUUACGACACACCCUACAAUAGGUAUCCUUUAUGUUUAAAAGUAGGGUCAGUUACACAGAAGUCUCUAAGAUCGCGGCCGUGUAUCAGAGCGCUGUGUAAUUUUAGGCGAAUCGUCGAUUCUCGUUUUAACUCGCCUUUAAAGCUUUAUAUAUUAUUUUUGAGAAUACUUCAAAGAGGAGAUGGCUGUCUGUCGCAACAGUAUCUAACGCUACAGGUGAUGAUGAUAUUGUGUCUAUCCCGGACAUCGUAGACGAAAUCAGGUUUCUGAACAAGGCAAGCGGGUCGAACACAGAAGUCCCGCGAGUCAGGUUUGAAAACCCCGUGCUCGG